ACGAAGGGGGCUAGCGUUGCUCGGAAUCACUGGGCGUAAAGGGCGCGUAGGCGGCGUUUUAAGUCGGGGGUGAAAGCCUGUGGCUCAACCACAGAAUGGCCUUCGAUACUGGGACGCUUGAGUAUGGUAGAGGUUGGUGGAACUGCGAGUGUAGAGGUGAAAUGCGCAGAUAUGCGGCAGAACAGCGGUGGCGAAGGCGGCCAACUGGACCAUCACUGACGCUGAGGCGCGUAAGCGUUGGUAGCAAACAG
This 251-nucleotide ribosomal RNA is filed under the name uncultured prokaryote. RNAcentral's name for it is "partial 16S rRNA". It matches the Rfam family "Bacterial small subunit ribosomal RNA", at positions 525 to 775 of the family's 1533-position model. The record is from RNAcentral.